GGGGGUAUAGCUCAGUGGUAGGGCAUUUGACUGUAGCUCAAGAGGUCCCCAAUUCAAAUCUGGGUGCCCCUU
RNAcentral lists this transfer RNA (72 nucleotides) under Alligator sinensis (Chinese alligator). It matches the Rfam family "tRNA". From Rfam's summary of the family: Transfer RNA (tRNA) molecules are approximately 80 nucleotides in length. Their secondary structure includes four short double-helical elements and three loops (D, anti-codon, and T loops). Lineage: Eukaryota; Metazoa; Chordata; Crocodylia; Alligatoridae. The record is from Rfam by way of RNAcentral.